AUGCUCGCUCCAGUGCUAGUGAUUUGUUCUGCCAGAAAAUGCUUGCUACAGUUCAAUAAUGGAGGGAGGAAACAGCUGGUCUGCACAUUCGUGAGUGAACAGCAUUUAAUAAGCUUCCAGGGCACAAAAGAAGAAAUGAUGCAACUUGAGGUGGAUCUUGGUGAGGAAGCAAUGCAGCAUGGCAUGAAUUGCCUGCCCCUAUCUGGAAAUCACUUGUGUGAGCGGGAGACAAGCUUUUGGAAAAUGGCUUCCAAAGCACUCUUCCUACAGUGUGUGGGUUCCCCCUGCAUUUGGUCAAGCAUAACAGGUUGCUCCUGGAAUUGCACAUUUUUCAUGGAAGGAACCAAUUAA
RNAcentral lists this long non-coding RNA (351 nucleotides) under Cairina moschata (Muscovy duck). RNAcentral's name for it is "domestica (muscovy Duck (domestic type)) lncRNA (ENSCMMG00000004730.1)". The record is from RNAcentral. Lineage: Eukaryota; Metazoa; Chordata; Aves; Anseriformes; Anatidae.